AGAGUUUGAUCCUGGCUCAGAACGAACGUUAGCGGCGCGCCUAAGACAUGCAAGUCGAGCGAGAAAGGGCUUCGGCCCCGGUAAAGCGGCGCACGGGUGAGUAACACGUAGGUAAUCAACCCUCGAGUGGUGGACAACUCUCCGAAAGGAGAGCUAAUACAGCAUGAUGGCGCGACUUUCCGAAGUCGUGCCCAAAGCGGGCCUCUCCAUGGAAGCUCGCGCUUGAGGAUGAGCCUGCGGCCCAUCAGCUAGUUGGUCGGGGUAAUGGCCCACCAAGGCUACGACGGGUAGCUGGUCUGAGAGGAUGAACAGCCACACUGGAACUGAGACACGGUCCAGACUCCUACGGGAGGCAGCAGUCGGGAAUCUUCCGCAAUGGGCGAAAGCCUGACGGAGCGACGCCGCGUGAGCGAUGAAGGCCUUCGGGUUGUAAAGCUCUGUGGGGAGGGAAGAAUAAGGGUGAGUUAAUAGCUCAUCUGAUGACGGUACCUCCUUAGCGAGCACCGGCUAACUCUGUGCCAGCAGCCGCGGUA
This 533-nucleotide ribosomal RNA is filed under the name uncultured Pseudomonadota bacterium. Its description in RNAcentral is "bacterial SSU rRNA". It matches the Rfam family "Bacterial small subunit ribosomal RNA", at positions 8 to 522 of the family's 1533-position model. The record is from RNAcentral. Lineage: Bacteria; Pseudomonadati; Pseudomonadota.